AUUGAACGCUGGCGGCAUGCCUUACACAUGCAAGUCGAACGGCAACAGGUCUUCGGAUGCUGACGAGUGGCGAACGGGUGAGUAAUACAUCGGAACGUGCCCGAUCGUGGGGGAUAACGAGGCGAAAGCUUUGCUAAUACCGCAUACGAUCUACGGAUGAAAGCGGGGGAUCUUCGGACCUCGCGCGGACGGAGCGGCCGAUGGCAGAUUAGGUAGUUGGUGGGAUAAAAGCUUACCAAGCCGACGAUCUGUAGCUGGUCUGAGAGGAUGAUCAGCCACACUGGGACUGAGACACGGCCCAGACUCCUACGGGAGGCAGCAGUGGGGAAUUUUGGACAAUGGGCGAAAGCCUGAUCCAGCCAUGCCGCGUGCAGGAUGAAGGCCUUCGGGUUGUAAACUGCUUUUGUACGGAACGAAAAGCCUCUUUCUAAUAAAGAGGGGUCAUGACGGUACCGUAAGAAUAAGCACCGGCUAACUACGUG
This 482-nucleotide ribosomal RNA is filed under the name uncultured bacterium. RNAcentral's name for it is "partial 16S ribosomal RNA". It matches the Rfam family "Bacterial small subunit ribosomal RNA", at positions 30 to 507 of the family's 1533-position model. The record is from RNAcentral.